AUACGGAGGGUGCGAGCGUUGUUCGGAUUUACUGGGCGUAAAGGGCGUGUAGGCGGAUAUGCAAGCUGGAGGUGAAAGCCCCGGGCUCAACCCGGGAAUUGCUUUGUAGAACUGCAUAUCUAGAGAAAGUCAGAGGCAGGUGGAAUUCCAGGUGUAGAGGUGAAAUUCGUAGAGAUCUGGAGGAACACCGGCGGCGAAGGCGGCCUGCUGGGACUUUUCUGACGCUGAGGCGCGAAAGCGUGGGGAGCAAACAGGAUUAGAAACCCCUGUAGUCC
Molecule: ribosomal RNA, 275 nt
Filed under: uncultured bacterium
Lineage: Bacteria
Description: partial 16S ribosomal RNA
Rfam family: Bacterial small subunit ribosomal RNA
Source: RNAcentral